CUCAAUUGUCGCCAAGAUCAUAAACAAACCGAAAAUUAUCGAAACAUUAACUUGUCUGUGAUGUGAUUGUGAAAUAAACGUGUCAAUCCACAACUUUUUUGUCAACAUGGUUAAAAUUUUGUACACCAACCAAAAAUGGCAAAAGAAGAGCAUGACCGGUUUAACUCCCGGUUUGGAAAUCGUCAACUUUGCAGAGGUGCCAUAGAUGGAUCCCAACCACGCUCUCCUCACCGGUUACUGGACCCCAGGGGAAAGGGUACUUGUUCCUUAUUAUUUGGGACUAGCAAUUAGAAUAAAGUGCGAAAUAGGUGUUAGAAAUGUAUUUUAAUUACUGAACUUGGUAAAUCUACCGCGCCACCCCCACAAAUUUGCUCCAAUACCUCUUGGGAGGGGGUGAUUAAAAAGAGAAAGUGAGAUUUUUUUUUGGAAAAUGAGAUUUUCGCUUGUAUAUAAGUAUGUGCUCAAAUCGUUCAGAAACAUUGAGGGGGUGUGGUCAAGGAGAAAGUGAGAUUUUUGAGGAAAAUGAGAUUUUCGCUUGUUGCGAAAUUGUAGUUGCAGCAUAAAUUAAUUAUUAGCUAGGAAAGAUGGGGAACUUAUUUCUGUAGAGCCUAAAAAUUUUUUUAAAAAGAUUUCACGCAAAUAUAUUCAUCCUGGGGGUAUGUGUUACGGGGUUGAUGGAAAGAGGGGAACAAUGAAGUGAAAAAUAAUUGCAUUUCAUCUACAGAAUUGGAUGAAACAAAUAAUAGUCUAAAUUUAUGAAGUUAAAUUAAAUUGAUUUAUGGAACAUUGCAAAAUUACAAGGUUUUUUGACAUGACUAAAAUUUACUUGAACUUUACAUAAACUGGAAGCCUUUGCACGGCACAAAAUACAGUGAUAGUGACAACAUCAGAGUCAGAGUUAGUAGAACACUUCAAGUUUAAAAAUCUCAAAUUCCCCAAAGUUAACAAAAACUUUACCUUGACACAUUGUUAUUAGAAGGUAAAAAAAUGUCUACAUUUCCAAAAACUGUACACAGAAAAUGGAAAAGAACUAACGUCAAAAUUAAAUUAGUUCCAAAUAUUUUUUUACAAUGUAAAAACCAAAUUAUAAAUCCCCCCUUUUUACGGACAUUUUCUGCGAUUUUCUGUGGUUUUUUUUAAGUUUAGGGACCUCUUUUGUGCGACUGCUGCGUAGUCAGAUUUUUCGAUACUUUUUGUGAUACAUAUUUUUUUCACACAUACUCUGCGAUACACCUUAUACUAAAAUUUAAUAAACAAAAUUAUAAAUUUA
Molecule: long non-coding RNA, 1270 nt
Organism: Folsomia candida
Lineage: Eukaryota; Metazoa; Arthropoda; Collembola; Entomobryomorpha; Isotomidae
Exons: 2
Source: RefSeq, a predicted model, not a curated record